GCGCCCGUAGCUCAGUGGAUAGAGUACUGGCCUCCGAAGCCAGGAGUCGUGGGUUCGAGUCCCGCCGGGCGCACCA
This 76-nucleotide transfer RNA is filed under the name Pseudomonadota bacterium. RNAcentral describes it as "tRNA-Arg". It matches the Rfam family "tRNA". Rfam says of the family: Transfer RNA (tRNA) molecules are approximately 80 nucleotides in length. RNAcentral also lists the same sequence under 1 other name. Lineage: Bacteria; Pseudomonadati; Pseudomonadota. The record is from RNAcentral.